GGAUUCAGAGGCAACCUGGCUGGGACAUUUGUCAACCCAUUGACUGCUAGAGCUGAUUCAGAUUGUCUGGCUAGCUAGGUGUGUUCAUCCUUCCUCCCUCACUGCGCCUAUAUGUUCCUCUUGAAGCUGUGUGCUUUGACAAAAAGUAUGGCCUUCCCCUACAGAGGAUGAUAUAGUCUUUAGUCAUAGGUAUGCAAACAGCUGUGUUAGAAUUUCCACACAAAUUCUACAAACAGACACACACCCACGUGGAGGGAUGGAGGAAGAGAGAGAGAGAGAGAUAUCCCAAAAUGAUGAUAAAUGAAUUGUAGUUGUUACAUUUCUUU
Mesocricetus auratus (golden hamster) is the source of this 326-nucleotide non-coding RNA. The record is from Rfam. NCBI's taxonomy places the organism in Eukaryota, Metazoa, Chordata, Mammalia, Rodentia, Cricetidae.